UACGUAGGGUGCGAGCGUUGUCCGGAAUUAUUGGGCGUAAAGGGCUCGUAGGCGGUUUGUCGCGUCGGGAGUGAAAACCUCGGGCUUAACUCGGGGCUUGCUUUCGAUACGGGCAGACUGGAGGUAUGCAGGGGAGAACGGAAUUCCUGGUGUAGCGGUGAAAUGCGCAGAUAUCAGGAGGAACACCGGUGGCGAAGGCGGUUCUCUGGGCAUGACCUGACGCUGAGGAGCGGAAGUGUGGGGAGCGAACAGG
This 253-nucleotide ribosomal RNA is filed under the name uncultured bacterium. Its description in RNAcentral is "partial 16S ribosomal RNA". It matches the Rfam family "Bacterial small subunit ribosomal RNA", at positions 524 to 776 of the family's 1533-position model. The record is from RNAcentral.